Molecule: long non-coding RNA, 10534 nt
Filed under: Homo sapiens (human)
Lineage: Eukaryota; Metazoa; Chordata; Mammalia; Primates; Hominidae
Description: non-protein coding LINC01410:9
Source: RNAcentral
ACUGUGGCAGGAGCAGUGGCGCUGAGCGUGCCCACGGGCCGCGGCUUGGGUCUCUCUCAUUUUCCAGGUGGUAUGGCCGUGGACAAUGGCAGUGGCGCCUGGCUGGCCCAAGAGCCCAGUCCAGCUACGCCUGCCUGAUUCCAGGCGUCACCACCAACCCGGGGGCCGCGAGGCUGGGAUCAGGCACCCCGGAGCCGCUUGCCUGUGGCCGGGCUGCUCUCCCCCUCUACGCCCAAGCACCACCAUCGCCGCGCUGCGCUUUCCGCCGACCUCCCAGAGCGUCCCGAUGUCGCCGGCGGCCAGACCAUGCGCGAGACAGCCCAGGCGCCAGAGACCUCCAUCCCCUGCCAGGGCUCUGGACUCUCCAGGCGGCCACCCUCUCGCUGGGACUCCAGGCCUUCCCCAGGCUCUUGAGCUCCCGAGCUUCCAACACCUGGGGCCCGCUUAGGACGGGGUGUGCUCCGAGGCGUCAGGGCCCAGGGCCCACGGUCCUGGGGUCCCCUCCGGUCCUCCGCCUUGCCGCGGAAAAAUUAUUUUGGAUUCCUCACCGCCCCUCCUGCAAGGCCCCCUCUUGCCCCACACACCCAGAGCCGCCAGGGCUGCCCAGGGGCGAACAGCCGGCCCAGCCCCACAGGCCCUUUUUCUCACAAUGCUCACACCAUCGUCGCUUGUUCUGAGGAGGACCCGCCAUGGCCAAAGGGGCAAGAAGGCUCUGCUUUGCCCCGCCCUGGCACUAGAGCCCCGGCAGCCUCAUCCCGGGAAAGAGGGGCUGACGGACACCCAGACACACCCCACCACUACCACGAGCAAACCCACCCUGACACACCCACGGAUACACACGGGUGCAUGCGCGCAGACACACACACACACCACACCCGGGCACACACACACGGACACACAAAGACACAGACACAGAUAGCUCAAAGGGAGACCUCCCCUCAUAUUGUCUUAUGCCCAAUUUCUGCCUCCAAAGAAAGAAGAAGUAAAAUCUAAAAGGCAGAAAUGAAAUCCACAGGCAGACAGCCCCGCGCCACACCCUGGGCCUGGUAGUUAAAGAUCGAUCCCUGACCUACUCGGUUAUGUUAUCUAUAGAUUACAGACAUUGUAUAGAAAAGCACUGUGAAAAUCCCUGUCCUGUUUUGUUCUGAUCUAAUUACCUGUGCAUGCAGCCCCCAGUCACGUACCCUCUGCUUCCUCAAUCCAUCAAGACCCUCUCACGCGGACCCCCUUAGAGUUGUAAGCCCUUAAGAGGGACAGGAAUUGCUCACUCGGAGAGCUUGGUUUUUGGAGACGUGAGUCUGCGGAUGCUCCCAGCUGAAUAAAGCCCUUCCUUCUACAACUCGGUGUCUGAGGGGUUCUGUCUGCAGCUCCUCCUGCUGCAGAAGGAGAGCAAGGGAGAGAGGGAUGGAGAAAUAGAACCAGAGGGAGAGAGAGAGACAGCGAUAGAGAGAGAGAGAGAGAGACAGAAAAGGGGGGAGGAGAGAGAGAGGGGGGAAGAGAGAGCACCACAGUAGAGCGCGAGGUGGAGGGGGAAGUAGAGAAAGGGAGAGGGUGAGGGAGUUGUGGAGCGACAGCGACAGAGCCUUGGAGAGGGAGGCUCUGCUCAGGUAGACAGGGCACCUUUCAGCAGGCCGGGGUGUGGUGGAGGGUUCUUGGGCCGGGCUAGAACAGGGGGUCAGGGCCCCCCACCCAGGAAAACCAAUGGAGCCCUGAGACUUGUUUUUUUCCUUGGAUUGGUUGGUUGCUUUGGGGGUGCGUUUCAUAAGGUCCUUCCUUUGUUUGCUUCUUUCUGUCUCCUUGAUGCGGUGGGCCCCGAGAUUUGUAGAGUGUGCUCGUGUGUCUGGCAGGAGCCGUGGCGCCGAGCCUGUCCACGGGGCGAGGCCUGGGUCUCUCUCCUGUCCUCCGGACUGGAGUUUACACGAAGUCGGUGGCAUUGGGAAACAGGGUGCACAGGGACGGAUUUCCUCGUGGCUGGCGAAGAAAAUGUCCUUCCUCUGGGGAAAGCAGCCCUCGGGUUCUGGAGCGGAGGUCUUGGCUGGGGUCUGUGGCACCCGCUGCCCCUGCUCGCCCCUCCCACCGGCUUGGACGGUUGCAGUGACGCUGAAUGAAUGAAUACAAUUGCCUGGGAGUCCGGGGAGCGUGAAGAGACCCGGGACCUCAGGGAACCCGCGCCUGCACCCUCGGGGUCGGUCCCGUCCCGCCCGGGUUGGGUGGGGCUGCCGCGAGUCGGAAGAGGUGGGAUGCUGCUGCCUGGCGGUGCUGCAGUGGCGGAUCUUCAGGAGGAGGUCCUGGGCUUCGGCUGGGGCACGGGGGCGGUCAACGGGGAGCAGAGGCGGGGCGCAGUUGGGAAGCACGGAGACAAAAGGGGGAAAGAAGGAGGGAGCGGGAAGCCAAAAGCCUACGGUACCGCUAUUACCAGGCGGAAUCCCAUCCAAGUACUAACCAGUCCCGACCCUGCUUAGCUUCAACAGAUCAGAGGCGAGCCGGGCGCGUUCAGGGUGGUGUGGCCUAGACGCCAGCAGCGGCGCCUGGCUGCCCCAAGAGCCCGGCCCAGCCAAGCCCGCAUGACUCCAGGCGUCAUCGCCACCCCGGGGCCGCGGGUCUCGGAUCCAGGACCCCCAGAGGCGCUCGCCCGUGCCCCCGGGCAGCUGUCUCCCUCUACACCCGAGGACCGCCGGCCUCCCAGAGAGUCCCGCCGUCUCCGGCGGCCAGGCCUGGCUCAGGACCAAUGUGGCACCGCCCUGCUGUUGUUGGGGGGCGCCGCCGGAGGCCUCUGUCCCCUGCGCAGGCUUCCGGCUCUAGGGGCGGCCUCCUUUCCGCCCACGCUCCAGUCCUUCCGGGAGCUCCGGAGCUCCGGGGCUUCCACCACAUCUGCCGGCUCAGGACGGGUCGUGCUCAUCCCUUAACUUUUUAACUUUUUGUUGUUUCUAUUUAUAUUUUAUUGUGCUAUGUCUUGAAAUGUUGUUGUAGCUAUUACUUUUGAUUGGAUAUUACUUAGUAUUCCUACUUUAAAUAAGAGUAGUUUGCACACCACACAGCUAUAGUGUUAUAAUAUUCUGUUUUGUUUUGUAUCCUAUUAGCAGUGAGGAUUUUUUUUUACCUUUAGGUGAUCAUUUAUUACUCAUUAAUGUCCUUUUCUUCCUGAUUGAAGUACUCCCUUUAGCAUUCCUUUAGGACAGGAUUUGUCCCCAGUGCCUUAUUUAGUUCACUUGGUGAGGUCAUGUUUUCCUGGAUGGUGUUGAUGCUAGUAGAUGUUCUUCAGUGUCUGGACAUUAAAAUCUUGGGCAUGCAGCACCAUAUGAGAAGUUUAAAAAAUAAAAUUUAAAGAGAGAAAAGGCUUUGGUAUCAGGAUGAUUCUGGCCUCAUAGAACAAGAUGGGGAAGAGUCCCUCCUCCUCUAUUUCUUGAAAUAGUUUCAGUAGGACUGGUACUGGCUCUUCUUUGUACAUCUGUUAAAAUUUGUUAAUCUAUCAGGUCCUGGGCUUUUUGGGGGUUGGUAGGCUAUUUAUUACGGAUUCAAUUUUUGGAGCUCAUAAUUGGUCUGCUCAGAGACUGAAUUUCUUCCUGGUUCAGUCUUGAGAGAGUAUAUGUGUCCAGGAAUUUAUUAAUCUCUUCUAGGGUUUCUAGUUUGUGUGUAUAGAGGUGCUCGUAGUAGUUACUGGUUGUUAUUUUUUUUUCUCUGGGGUCAGUGGUAACAUUCCCUUCAUCAUUUCUAAUUUUCUUUAUUUGAAUCUUCUCUCAUCUUCUUUAUUAAUCUAGCUAGUGCCCUAUCUUAGUAAUUUUUUCAAAAAACCUUGAUUAAGUGAUCUUUUGAACAGUUUUUCAUGUCUCAAUUUCUUUCAAUUCAGCUCUGAUUUUAGUUAUUUCUUGUCUUCUAUAAGCUUUGUGGUUGAGUUCUCCUUGCUUCUCUAAUUCUUUCAGUUGUGAUGUUAGGUUGUUAAUUUGAGAUAUUUCUAAUUUUUUGAUAUGGGCAUUACUUCUUAUGCCCUACUCUAAAUUUUGUUCUUCUAGAAAACUCAGAACUAUGCUUUCUAAACCAAUUCAAACUUUCUCAGUGAAUCAACCUGGACUCCCUGAGGCCAAGUUAGCAAUUUUCCAUUACACUUGGUUCUCUUUCUCUGUAAGAAUAUCUAAUGCAACAAUUCAAGUGUUUCUUUCCCUCCUGGUAAUGCGGGGAACUCCUUUUGGCUGAGACCAAGACUUAAAACCUUGUUCUUUCAACAUUAAUGAAGAUCUAUUUAGAAAGCCUCCAUUUUUGCAGAAAAGAUAUAUAAACACCAAUGAAAAUCAAUAUGAAAUUAUAUGACAUACAAUUAUAUUGUGGAAAGACUGAAUAAAUAAGUGAACUAAGCUCUAAGAAAAAAAGAUGAUGAUAUAAAAUGAUAUAGAAGUAAAAACCUGGGCUGGUAUAGCAUAAUUAAUGUAUCAGUAAAGUAUGUACAUUGUAGAAGUGGCAGGAAGACAGCAUAGAGAGUGAGACCUGACCAAAAGCUUUAAGGAAAGUUCUAUACCCUUAAACGAGAUUAAAGUGGACUCAGGAAAACAUGGGCCACAUGAGGGGAAGGACACAUGUUCCAGAUGAGCCAAAGCUCAGAGCAUCUCUACCUUCUCCAGGAGGAAAGGGGAGGCAAAGCAGCAGGCAGAAGACAGCACGGCCAGGUCAGCACAGGGCACCCAGGCCAAGCCAGGUGGGCUCCAUCAUACAGGUAGUGAGGAGUCACUGCCAGGUGGGCUUUAUUCAUUAGUUUGUUUUGUUUCUUUUAGUAACGAAGACACAUGAUCAAAGUUGACCUUUGUAAGUGUUGCUGCAGCUGAACAAAAAGAUGGAUAAGACCAGUGUUUUAAAAAUUAUGUUGUAUAGAGCACUAGCCUCAGUGAGAUAUUAGUAGAACACACAGGCACACACACACACACACACACUCACACUAAGCCCAGAUUAUUCUGGCAAAUGCUGGGUUAAGCAAACUAAAAGAAACAUCUUUAGUGCUGGACUUCUCAGAACCUGGAAUGUCGCUAUAUGACUCAUAAAACAGCAAGGUUAAGACAGAACAUGUCAUUUUUUCCCAGAAAUGCUGAAACACUUUCCUUCCCUUGGCUUCAGUGUCACCUUCUUUCUCCUGGUUCUCCAUCAACCUCUUUGGCUGAUCCUUCUUGAUUUCCUUCUUGACAAUCUGCUGCUGCUCAGCCAUUCUCUUUUCAUUCCCCAUGGAUUUCUCAAGUGCGUUUCUAUUCCUGCAUUUUAAACUUUCCUUGUUUUUCCUGACACCUCUCCUUGUCUGACUCACCCCUGUUCUAAGGCAGGUGUUCCAUCUGUGUGCGCUUUUGGCACCCUGGGAUGCUCCCAGCAUGUUCCCUGCCACACUCCAUCAGGUUUUCUCCGCAGACUCUGUGAGGGCAGCAGCCUUGUCUCCACCAUUCCUUCAAUGCUCAGCACAUAACACAGAAGCUGACUCCAUAACAUUUAGUUGGCCAACUGAGACUAAAUAUAUGUUCCUCUAGAUCUUAAAAAGUUACAGAAACAUAGCACAAUAGACAAAAUAUUCUCUUUAGUCAGGAGUUCUCUAUAUAUGUACAACAGUUUGAAGUCAUUAUUAAAGCAAAGUGAAAGAGAAACUGUCACAGAAUUCCCCAAGAUAAAUUAUUUUGCUUUAGUCUUCAUCAUGUGAGAUAAUCAAGACCAUGUGUUAUUGUAAAUAUUUCUAGCUUACAACACAACGACCUGAUUUUUAUUGUGUGAAAUAACCGCAAUAUAAAUCAGUUAAUUAAAAAUUGCAUAAAUAAUCCUUUCAAAUAAAAUUCUGCCUAAAUUUUACAUUACUCAUAUGUUCAAAUGAUAAUGAGCUCAUAGGCUUUUCCAAUACCUCAGUCAAAACACUGUACUGAUUCCAGCUGUGGGAAUAGUAUCUGAAAGUUAUUUUACAGAUGGGGAACAGGUACUUACCUGACAUUGGCCUUUACACUACUGUGCCCUUUUAGGUCAGGAAAAAGCUGUUCCCUUAAAAUCCUAAAAUCUCUUCUGUCAGGUCUGAAGGGUGGGUGGGAAACACAGUUUUACAAAUUUUAGCCACAGAUGUUUUAUUCCUUGCUUAAAGCAGUGACUAGAUAAAGGCCACUAGAAGAGUCUCCAAUGUUUCUUUAGAAGCGUGUGCCUGAGAACAUCUUCCAGAAACACUCCCUUGUCUCUGCCCAAAAUCACCUUAGGUAGGAAAAUCAAAACUCAGCAGGCUGAGGGAUCCAAGGGGAUCACUGAGCUCUGAGUCUUAUGAGAGAAGAGAGAGAGGUCUAAGACUUUUUGUGUAUAAAUUUAUGGGUUCCAAGUGUAAUUUUGCUGUAAGCAUGGAUGGCAUAGUGGUGAAGUCAGGGCUUUUAGGUAUCCAUCACCAGAAUAAUGCACAUUGUACCCAUUAAGUAAUUUCUCACUGUUCACCCCUUCCAUCCCCUCACCCUGCUGAGUCUCCAUUAUCAUUCCACUCUCUACGUCAAUAUCUACACAUCUUUUAGCACCCGCUUAUGAGUGAUACAAUAUGAUGUUUACUCUGUGUCUGGCUUGCUUCACUUACAACAAUGGCCUCCAGUUCCAUCCAUGUGUCUGCAAAAGUUAUAAUUCUAUUGUUUUUUAUGCCUGAAUGGUAUUUCAUUGUGUAUAUUUUCUACAUUUUCUUUCUCCAAUCAUUUGUUGAUGGGUAUUUAGUUUCAUUUUAUGUCUGUGCUACUGUGAAUAGUGUUGCAACAAAUACACAAGUACAGUUAUCUUUCUGAUACAUUGAUUUCUUUUCCUUUGCAUAAAUACUCAGUGGUGGGAUUGCUGAAUCAGACAGAGCCAAUAGAUGAUCAGUAAUGGUGGCCAAUCAUCAGCUAGAAAGAAAGUGCUUAGCAGGGCUUGAAAACACCAAAACUCUGAGACCACUGACCUUCAAAAACUUCAACAGCCCUGAGUGAAAAGUCCAAACACAUUUAUCUACCAUUCGAAGACGCUUUAUUGUCUGUCCUCUGCACAUCUCAGUAGUCUCUUUUUACCACACUGUCUAUAUACUGCAUGAGCCAUUUAUAUGAAACUAUCUGACACUCCAAGGCAUCUUGUACUAUAUAUUCAACUAUGUAUCCCUAGUACCUAGCACAGUCCUGGCAUAUAGUUUGCUACUAAACUUUUACAGAAUGAAGGAAUUAUCUUGUAUCCAGGUUCCAAGUUUUAAGGUGAUUCUUCAGUAAAAAAAAGUAUUACAGUUCACAAAUAAUCUACUUCCCUUUUUACAAAUGGGAUCAAUUUUAAUCUUAUCUCCUAAUAACAUUACUUUCAUUUACUCUGAUCUAAAUAUACUGUCCUAAGAGAGCAAUAAGAAAGAGAGUUGAAGCUGGAGUUUGAAGAAUUGUACAUGGUCCUGUGAUACCCUACCUUGUUUUAACCUGAGUGACUCUCUCCUAGCGGAGAGAGAGCCGGACAGACUCCAUUUUAGUUUCUUCACGUGCAGCCCCCUUUACCUUCCACCCUUAAUUGCAUAACUAGUGUAAACUGACUCAAAGCAGGUCCAGGAAUGCACUUAGUGAUAAGAUAUUGAGGCAAGCUGCACCAGCUGCUCCUGGGUACGCACUCGGUGAAUGUCACGCAAAACCCCUGCAUUUCUCUCUUUGUGAUAGUUUAAGCCCCUGCACCUGGAACUGUUUAUUUGUUUUGUAACUGCUAUUGUAACCAAUUAAUAUUUUAACUAUUUGCCAGCUCUGCUUCUGUAAAACUUGUUUCAGCUAAACUCCCCCCUCCCCUAUUUAGACCACGGUAUAAAAACAAAACCAGCCCCUUCCUCGGGGCCAAGAGAAUUUUGAGCAUUACAUGCCUCUCGGUUACCGGCUAAUAAAGGACUCCUUAAUUUGUCUCAAAGUGUGGCAUUCCUCUAUAACUCGCUUGGUUACAACAGUCCACACUGUGGCCUGAGGUGCAUUGCCCACCUGAGCUUCAUCUGUUAUGUAUGUCAGGGAAUAUAAGCAGGGUGAGAGUGGCCUCAUCAGAGGACCCCAGAUCUCUGGCUUACCCAUCUGGCAAGUGCACCUCUGUGAGCAAAGACUUCAGAGCCAGGUGACAAGAAUGGCCCAAGCAGUCCACCAGGAAAACCUGGGCCCAGUGUACGUCAAUGCAGAGCAUCAAGCAUGGUGUAACAGGUGCACAGUUGCCUACUCCUGUUCAGAGAUGACUGCAUCCCACAUACCGUAAAAUGAGGAAAUGCAUAGAAGCAGAUGUAACUGAAGAAGACAGCAGAAGCAACAAGGAGGGACAACCAGGACCUAGGAGGGCACCAUGCCAGAGACGCCUGGACCCCAUGCUAGGCUCAGUGCCUGUUAUACUCUUGGGAGCCAGCACUUUCCCUCUCCAUCACAUGGCAUACUUGCCAUUAUUUGUUGUGUAAAAUAUUGUCCUUAGUUUUCACCUUUCCUAGGAGACACAGGCAGAGCCUGUGACACUACAGCUUCUGGCACACAGUAGGUAGGUGCAUCACAAACAUCUGCUGAGUUCACACACUCUUGCCUUCUCAAAACUUCUUGUCAAGUCUUCAGUGAAAAGGAAUUGCUGAUUGAGCAAGAAUUAAACUUCUAGAGACUCCUGGAUCCACUGAAGUUUGAGACAAGCUCUAGUCAGGAAGUGUUAGAGAGUUCUAAACAGGAAAUAUUCCAACACAUCAUCUAAGCAUGAAGCAGGAGACACCCAUAAUUGAGUUUGCUGCCACCAACCCCAACAGCAAGAAUUCCAGUCCUGCUGCUGCAAAUUCUCUUUUGGAGUCUUUCUUGCAGUUGCGGUUGGUUGGCUGCUGCUGAAGUCACCUGAAAGCUCAAUUAGGCUAAAGAGUCUAAACGGGUCACUUACAUGGCUGGCAGUGCAUAUUGGCUGCUGAGUGUGAUGCCUAUCUGACCUCUCCAUGUUACCUGGAGUGCUCACAACGUGGUAGUUUGUCCCAAGACACACAGGCAAAUACUACAAAGCUUCUUAGGGCCUAGCCUUGGAGGUCCUAGAAUACGACUUCUGCUGCAUCCUAUUGGAAAAGCAAGUCAUUGUGACCAGCACAGAUUCAAGAAAUGGGAGAUUCGACUCUACCUGUCAAUGUAAACAGCAGCAUGUGCAUGCAGGGAGGAAAGAAAUUGAGGGCAUCAUCUUGAAGACUAUCAUAUCACACCAUUAUUCCAACUAGUGAACAUUAUGUUUUAGAUGGGUAGUACUAGCUACUCAUCUGUCCCCCAGAAACCCAAGCUAAGCAUGGACAUAUUGAAGAGAAUGUCAACACCAUUAAAAAAACUCUAGAAAAAUCACAUGUGAUGACUGAGGUUAAUUCAGUCUGUCAACUACAUCAAUAUAAUUGCCUUCUUGUAACCCUAAGUAUGGUGAAGCAGAAUUGAAUUCUACAAAAGUCUUUCAUCUGUUUUCCUAUGGAAUAAUUAACAAACCCAAUAAAUGUAUAAAUAGCAUGAAGUCCGACUUAUUUUAGAUUUUUACCUCAUAAUUUCAAAGCUUAUAGAAAUCCAGAGAACUAAUCAUCAUAAUCCAUAAUGCCUGGACCAGAAGUCCUUGUUCUAAGAGUAUCUUGUGGCAUGCUAAAAAUGUAUUACUAACUAGGAAAUUUAAAACUUUUUUGUUAGUGGUUUUAAGAGAGCUGACUAGCUCAUCACCACAAUUCACACAGAUUAAGAAAGGAGGUUACUCUGUGGAGUGGAUUCAUAGUGAUCAGAAAAAAAAAAUCACAAAAGAGGAAAGGAGAUAGGGAAGGGGAAAGAUACUGUCAAUCUCUACAAUUAAAGUGAUUUUUCGAAUGGUUUGAUUUUGUAUUUGCAAAGGAAAGGCAGCUUAAUGUGAUAGAAUAAGAAUCCCACUUCUGUAUCUUUUUUUUUUUUUUUUUUUUUUUGAGACGGAGUCUCGCUCUGUCGCCCAGGCUGGAGUGCAGUGGUGCAAUCUUGGCUCACUGCAAGCUCUGCCUCCCGGGUAGAUGCCAUUCUCCUGCCUCAGCCUCCCGAGUAGCUGGGACUACAGGCGCCCACCACCACGCCCGGCUAAUUUUUUGUAUUUUUUGUAGAGACAGGGUUUCACCGUGUUAGCCAGGAUGGUCUCGAUCUCCUGACCCUGUGAUCCCCCCACCCUGGCCUCCCAAAGUGCUGGGAUUACAGGCGUGAGCCACUGUGCCUGGCUCGUCUUCUUUUGAGAAGUGUCUGCUUAUGUCCCUUGUCAAUGUUUUAAUGGGGUUGUUUUCCUAAUGUCCAACAUCACUAAUCAUCAGAGAAAUGCAAGUCAAUGAGAGAUACCAUCUCAUAUUAGUCAGAAUGGCUACUAUUAAAAAGUAAAAAAAUGACAAAUUCUGGUUAGACUUCAGAGAAAAUGAAAUGCUUAUACACUGUUGGUGAGAAUGUAAAUUAGUUCAGCCACUGUGAAAAGCAGUUUGGAGAUUUUUCAAAGAAUUUAAAACAGAAGUGCCAUUCAACCAGCAAUUCCAUUACUGAGUAUAUAUCCAAAAGAAAAUUAAGAAUUCCACAAAAAAGAAACCCCACAUGCACUUGUAUAUGAG